RNAcentral lists this long non-coding RNA (377 nucleotides) under Gopherus agassizii (Agassiz's desert tortoise). RNAcentral describes it as "lncRNA (ENSGAGG00000013991.1)". The record is from RNAcentral. Lineage: Eukaryota; Metazoa; Chordata; Testudines; Testudinidae.
AAACAAACAAAGAAAGAUACUUGCUGCAAUUGUUGUAUUAUUCCUUUCUUUCAUAUGGCUCUGUGAAAAGACAAGGGGAUGGAUUCUGCUCUCAGCUAAACAGGUUUGUGCCUUACUGCUCAAGUGAUAUCUGGAGUGGAACUUUGCCCAAGUCACAGCAAGCAGACUAUGCCUUCAUGGGAUCUCUAAUUAUCCAGGAGGUGAUUAAAGACCUGGUUCCUAAGGGAAUUAAGCAAGCUAAAGUGGUCCUGCUUGCUGGGGAAAGGAUGUGGAAUGGAAUCCUUCCAGAAGAAUGUAAACAGAAGUUCAAGAGAGUUAACGAGUGGCAGUGCCUCCUUGGGUAUAGAUUGUAUUCAUCCUUGAAAUAGCUGUGUUUG